GAUGAACGCUGGCGGCGUGCCUAAUACAUGCAAGUCGAGCGAAUGGAUUAAGAGCUUGCUCUUAUGAAGUUAGCGGCGGACGGGUGAGUAACACGUGGGUAACCUGCCCAUAAGACUGGGAUAACUCCGGGAAACCGGGGCUAAUACCGGAUAACAUUUUGAACCGCAUGGUUCGAAAUUGAAAGGCGGCUUCGGCUGUCACUUAUGGAUGGACCCGCGUCGCAUUAGCUAGUUGGUGAGGUAACGGCUCACCAAGGCAACGCUGCGUAGCCGACCUGAGAGGGGGAUCGGCCACACUGGGACUGAGACACGGCCCAGACUCCUACGGGAUGCAGCAGUAGGGCAUCUUCCGCAAUGGACGAAAGUAUGACGGAGCAACGCCGCGUGAGUGAUGAAGGCUUUCGGGUCGUAAAACUCUGUUGUUAGGGAAGAACAAGUGCUAGUUGAAUAAGCUGGCACCUUGACGGUACCUAACCAGAAAGCCACGGCUAACUACGUGCCAGCCGCCGCAGUAA
This 515-nucleotide ribosomal RNA is filed under the name uncultured bacterium. RNAcentral's name for it is "partial 16S ribosomal RNA". It matches the Rfam family "Bacterial small subunit ribosomal RNA", at positions 28 to 523 of the family's 1533-position model. The record is from RNAcentral.